This 468-nucleotide ribosomal RNA is filed under the name uncultured bacterium. RNAcentral describes it as "partial 16S ribosomal RNA". It matches the Rfam family "Bacterial small subunit ribosomal RNA", at positions 28 to 507 of the family's 1533-position model. The record is from RNAcentral.
GACGAACGCUGGCGGCGUGCUUAACACAUGCAAGUCGAACGGAAAGGCCCGGCCUUGGUGGGGUGCUCGAGGGGCGAACGGGGGAGUAACACGUGAGUAACCUGCCCUUCACUUAGGGAUGACUUCAGGAAACUGGGGCUAAUACCGGAUAGGAGCUCCUGCUGCAUGGUGGGGGUUGGAAAGUUUCGGUGGUUGGGGAUGGACUAGCGGCUUAUGGGCUUGAUGGUGUGGUAGUGGCAGAGCAAGGCUUGGCCGGGUAGCCGGGCUGGGCGGGGGAGAUGAUCCGCCACACUUGGACUGCGGCACGGCCUAGACUCCUACGGGAGGGAGCGGUGGGGAACAUUGGAGGAUGGGCGAAGGCCUGAUCCAGCAACGCCGCGGGAGUGACGAAUGCCGUAGGGUUGUAAAGCUGCUUUACCCGGGACGAUAAUGACAGUACCGGGAGAAUAAGCACCGGCUAACUACGUG